RNAcentral lists this unclassified non-coding RNA (425 nucleotides) under Hevea brasiliensis (rubber tree). Lineage: Eukaryota; Viridiplantae; Streptophyta; Magnoliopsida; Malpighiales; Euphorbiaceae. The record is from RNAcentral.
GCAUCACCAAACCACUUGCUCAUCAGAUUGGAGAUCCUCACAUUAAUGAAAACAGCGCCUGACUCUUUUGCAAUAGCUUUGGCAAGCAUAGUCUUACCAGUACCUGGUGAUCCAUAUAACAGGACCCCUUUUUGGGGCCCAAGAAGCUUCCCAUGUGAAAAGAGCUCAGGUCUCCGCAGUGGAAGAAUCACUAGUUCAUACAAAGCUUGCUUGAUAGUUUCCAAUCCUCCAAUUGACUCAAAUUCCACAUCAAUGUGAUCUGGAUUUAUGACAUCACAAGCUAUUACAUCCUCGUAUGGAUUGGUCUGGAUAAGAGGGCGACCCAAUCGCUUGGCGAUUUCCUUCUUCUGUUCAAGGGCCUUCUUCGAGGCCUCCCGGUUAGGAUCAAGUUGUCGUAGCCCCGCAAACAAUACCAGACAACUUAG